Molecule: ribosomal RNA, 400 nt
Filed under: uncultured bacterium
Lineage: Bacteria
Description: bacterial SSU rRNA
Rfam family: Bacterial small subunit ribosomal RNA
Source: RNAcentral
GGGGAAUCUUAGACAAUGGGGGAAACCCUGAUCUAGCCAUGCCGCGUGAGUGAUGAAGGCCUUAGGGUUGUAAAGCUCUUUCAGCUGGGAAGAUAAUGACGGUACCAGCAGAAGAAGCCCCGGCUAACUCCGUGCCAGCAGCCGCGGUAAUACGGAGGGGGCUAGGGUUGUUCGGAAUUACUGGGCGUAAAGCGCACGUAGGCGGACCGGAAAGUUGGAGGUGAAAUCCCAGGGCUCAACCUUGGAACUGCCUUCAAAACUAUCGGUCUGGAGUUCGAGAGAGGUGAGUGGAAUUCCGAGUGUAGAGGUGAAAUUCGUAGAUAUUCGGAGGAACACCAGUGGCGAAGGCGGCUCACUGGCUCGAUACUGACGCUGAGGGGCGAAAGCGUGGGGAGCAAAC